Molecule: ribosomal RNA, 253 nt
Filed under: uncultured bacterium
Lineage: Bacteria
Description: partial 16S ribosomal RNA
Rfam family: Bacterial small subunit ribosomal RNA
Source: RNAcentral
UACGUAGGGGGCAAGCGUUGUCCGGAUUUAUUGGGCGUAAAGAGCGUGUAGGCGGCCAGGUAGGUCUGCUGUGAAAACUCGAGGCUUAACCUCGAGACGCCGGUGGAAACCAUCAGGCUAGAGUCCGGAAGAGGAGAGUGGAAUUCCUGGUGUAGCGGUGAAAUGCGCAGAUAUCAGGAAGAACACCCGUGGCUAAGGCGGCUCUCUAGUACGGUACUGACGCUGAGACGCGAAAGCGUGGGGAGCGAACAGG